CCUACGGGAGGCAGCAGUGGGGAAUAUUGCACAAUGGGGGAAACCCUGAUGCAGCGACGCCGCGUGAGUGAAGAAGUAAUUCGUUAUGUAAAGCUCUAUCAGCAGGGAAGAAAAUGACGGUACCUGAGUAAGAAGCCCCGGCUAACUACGUGCCAGCAGCCGCGGUACUACGUAGGGGGCCAGCGUUAUCCGGAUUUACUGGGUGUAAAGGGAGCGUAGUCGGCAGUGCAAGUCUGGAGUGAAAGGCGGGGGCUCAACCCCCGGACUGCUCUGGAAACUGUACGGCUGGAGUGCAGGAGAGGUAGGUGGAAUUCCUAGUGUAGCGGUGAAAUGCGUAGAUAUUAGGAAGAACACCAGUGGCGAAGGCAGCUUACUGGACUGUAACUGACGUUGAGGCUCGAAAGCGUGGGGAGCAAACAGGAUUAGAUACCCCUGUAGUC
This 440-nucleotide ribosomal RNA is filed under the name uncultured bacterium. RNAcentral describes it as "partial 16S ribosomal RNA". It matches the Rfam family "Bacterial small subunit ribosomal RNA", at positions 338 to 795 of the family's 1533-position model. The record is from RNAcentral.